CAAAUGGAGGUCACUGCCCCUGGCAGCUAAAAAACUAUUGCUCUGUGAGGCUACAGUGUUAUUGUUACUUUGAAUUACUCCUCUUUCAAUUCAGCCCCCUGCUAUUCAUCUGCAGCCAGCAGGUUAGUCCUGUUAAAGUGCACCGUGAGGUGAAAGCCCUGCAUUCAAUAGAUUUACGGGGAGAAUACCCCCUAUCGGUAUAAACGUACGCGGAAGAGAGCAGAGGGCUCAUUGCAAGCCUUGGUUCCAUUCUCAGCAUCUGCACCCUUGCUUAAGUCUUAGUGAAUGGUUUCACAGCAUUACUACUAAUUCUGACCUGCCACUGGUUACACUGAAGCCAUUGCAAAGCCCAGGGGGCUGAAAAUGGAGAAUCAUCACUUUAAUUAUCCGUUUUUUCCUGACAUAUUUAUCCCACAAUUGGCAAGAGAAGCUGUUAAGUGUUGGGAAAUAUGGGAAAUAUGAGAAGGAAGUAGCCAAGGAAGGAAGAAAGCCACAGUUUUUUGUAUUCCCAAAUUACUUUUCAAAAUGUGAAGAUUUGUUUAAAAUAUGGAAUUAAGCUGUGUUAUAUCUGAUUUUUAAAUGUACAUACCUUUUUUGCAUUAGUUUUGAACAGUCAUUUUCAAUUAAAAACAUAACUUAAAGGGGAUAUUUACUUUUACAAGUACACUCAUGUAGCAAUUAUUGAUCCUUUAUUAAUAAGGAAACAUAGUACUUAUGGGACCUUUGGGUGAAACACAAAUGCAGAGCUCUGCAGCGGGUAAGAUUCUUCUGUAUGGACAGCACAGUAGUUAUGCACUAGUGCAAUCCGCAUUCAUUCACUUGCACAGGAUUGAUCCUUCUGGCUACUGGCAAUGACAGAGGGACCAGCAGUAGCGCCUAAAAUCAGCAAGUAAAUUACAGUAAAUUAUAUAUAUAUAUGCCUAGGGUGGCACAAAAUGUAUCCCUGAACAGCAGGAAAGUCUUCUAUACCACAAGAAGUUUUUGCAUGCACAUGUAUGUAAUAUUCACAGACUGUAUAAUAUAAUGAAACAAUCCUUCUGGUGCUAUAAUUAGUACAUGACAAGGUCAGUGCCAAUGUAAUGCCCUCUUUAAAACCAUUACCUUUACUACUAUUCGGUUAAAAUCUCUUAUGCUAAACAUAAUUCAGACUCAAGCCUGUGUUGGGUUAAAAAAGGCAGCUCAUUUAUUUACAAAUAGUUAACCUUCAGAGCUUUGUAAACAACCUACUUUAACAGUAACAUGUUAACAUUUUUAAAAAACGUAACAACAAGGAGCUACUGAAUGCUGCAUUUGUGAGAGUCAUUCCUUCCCUGAGGCUAAAUAUGGCCCCAAUCCUUAGCCUCAGACUUACCAUUUGUACUCCAUUAAUCCUGCCCCAGCUACAAAUGUCCUGGCUGUGACUCCUGCAACCUCCUACCAAACUAUCCUACCUAACAAAUCCCAAUUAACCCAUUAAAAAGGGUUCGACUAUGUUUAAUUUGAAUUUUUGCAUCUACCCUCCCCCUCAAAUAAUCAGACAUCAGAACUACUAGGCCUUUCCAAACCUUGUGAUGGCCCCAAACCCUCAACCUGUACCAUGCUUGGUCUCUGGGACCCCUUUAAUUUUAAUGCAACUAUUGCCAUCAUCAUCAUUCAUAAAUGAAAUGACAACAAUUCAUGCAGCACUUUCUCAUAAUAAUAUAAGCAAGAGAUAAAUUGACAACAAAAAGUUGCUGAAUAAGGCAGGGGAGUGGUGGAGAUGCUAACAAGAGUUUACACUUUAAAUGCUAUACAGACAUAAUACAGUAAAUAACUCAUCCCUUGACAAAUGUGUUCUGUGGAGCAUUUUUUACUAGUCACAUUCCCGGUUAUUUGUAUGCAGAA
This is a long non-coding RNA of Xenopus tropicalis (tropical clawed frog), 1863 nucleotides long. RefSeq lists it as uncharacterized. The record is from RefSeq and is a predicted model, not a curated record. Lineage: Eukaryota; Metazoa; Chordata; Amphibia; Anura; Pipidae. The transcript is spliced from 3 exons.